Molecule: transfer RNA, 87 nt
Filed under: Clostridium tagluense
Lineage: Bacteria; Bacillati; Bacillota; Clostridia; Eubacteriales; Clostridiaceae
Description: tRNA-Tyr
Rfam family: tRNA
About the family: Transfer RNA (tRNA) molecules are approximately 80 nucleotides in length. Their secondary structure includes four short double-helical elements and three loops (D, anti-codon, and T loops). Further hydrogen bonds mediate the characteristic L-shaped molecular structure. tRNAs have two regions of fundamental functional importance: the anti-codon, which is responsible for specific mRNA codon recognition, and the 3' end, to which the tRNAs corresponding amino acid is attached (by aminoacyl-tRNA synthetases). tRNAs cope with the degeneracy of the genetic code in two manners: having more than one tRNA (with a specific anti-codon) for a particular amino acid; and 'wobble' base-pairing, i.e. permitting non-standard base-pairing at the 3rd anti-codon position.
Source: RNAcentral
GGAUAGAUAUGUCUAGUGGCGAUGACGGCAGGUUGUAACCCUGUUACGUAAGAUACACCGUAGGUUCGACUCCUACUCUGUCCACCA